CCACGGGGGAGGGGGCCUCAAGCCUGAGCUCCCCACAAAGCAGACUCUGAGAUGAGGGUCUGGGUGUAGGCAGCUUACUUGGGGGCCGAUCCAGGAAGUGUGCGAGGGGCGGGGGAGAGUGAGACAGGAGGAAGGAAGGCUGUGAAGCGCGUCAGUGAGUGAGUUACUGCCACGGCAGGCAGUUCACCCUGAGGGGCCCUCACACCCUGGGGUUGGGUGGCCCCGGGGUUGGGAGUGCCUCCACUGAUCCGUCCCACUUGGGCUGAGAGGAUGGGAAGGAACCUCUGAACUUGUAGGCUGCUCCAUCCUGGAAACCCCCUUCAUCCCAGGAGGCACAGAAACCCGGGCCAGGGUGGGCUAGGGGACCACAGGUGAGGUCUCCGUCUGCUGGGAGGGGGCUCCGGAAGCUAAGGGACUUUCAGACAGGUGGGCAGGGGUCACUCAGGACCCAUUCCAAGCAGGCCAAGGAGCAAGUGCCAGGGAAGAUUCUUCCUCCGGGUUUCUCUCCAUCACCGCCUCCCGCCCUGGGUGGCCUCUCACAUCACUAGGCCCGGGGUCACUUUGCGUCCCAGGAGAGGCAGAGAAGAUAGCACAUGGCAGGAAUCCAGCCUCCUCGGGCUACAGGGAAGGAGAGAAUAGUAAAGGAAGAGCCUUAAAUACCCCUCAACUGUUCAAGGAUUGGAGAUUUGCACUAAAUCUCAGGAAAAAGGAGUAAUUACGCUGUCAGCAAAGCUCUGGAUCUUCCACUGGAGGCAGCUCUGCUUGGCCUAUGCAGUCCCUCAGACCCGAGAGAAAGCCGCAGAGAAUGGGAAGGAGCACGCAACCUUGCCCUGUUGUCAGACCACCUCUUCGACCUCAUCACAUCCUCCAGGUGCUGCCCAAGAGGAAGACGCAGUGAGGGAUGGAAUGACUGGAGAAGGAUAAAGGGGCUAGAAAAGCCAUGUGUAGGAUAAUAAAAAAUGUGAUGAAACAAGACUGUCACCAGGAGAGAAAGCCAGUUCAGAGAAGAGGCUGCCCAUCCUCCAGCCUCAGCUUCUCCAAGGCAGAAUGGAAAGAGCGUUGGAUAGGAAAGCACAAAACGUGGGGUAGAGCCUGUGUCUGCCACUGCCUGGCUGAUCACCUGGGCAACCUGCUCGACAUCUCGGAGCCCAUUUGUCUGAGCGUGGAGUGGCGCAGCUGGAUGAAAGAGACUAAGUUCUUCUCCAGCCCUGAGCCUCUAAGGGGUUGAGGGCUCUGUGUCAUGGGUGUGGCUUUAAGAAGAAUGCAAGAGGACACAAGGGUAACCUCCUGUGUGGUGGAAAUCUUCAGCAGCUCCUGGGGUAUGGGGGGCUCGAGGAAGGGAGGGUCCCAGGGGAGCAGAGGAAGGAGCUGAUAGAGACAGACACAGAGAGACCCCCUCUCUCACUGUUGGCUUGUGACCUUGGAC
Molecule: long non-coding RNA, 1426 nt
Filed under: Capra hircus (goat)
Lineage: Eukaryota; Metazoa; Chordata; Mammalia; Artiodactyla; Bovidae
Description: lncRNA (ENSCHIG00000005542.1)
Source: RNAcentral